Molecule: long non-coding RNA, 2872 nt
Filed under: Sus scrofa (pig)
Lineage: Eukaryota; Metazoa; Chordata; Mammalia; Artiodactyla; Suidae
Description: lncRNA (ENSSSCG00035051460.1)
Source: RNAcentral
GCAUUAAAGCAUUAAUAACUUUUACUCACAAAUACAAAGGGCAAAAAAAUAUACUUAGAAAUGAAGACAAUUUGUAGCUUCCAGUCAAGAACUGGAUAUUUGUUGAAAUAGUCAUAUAGUUAUUCUAUAGAAUUUGUAGCAGUCUGCAGUGCUUUUAAUGUCCCUCUAUGAAAAUGAAUCAUUUGACAUUUCAUAUAACAUUAUACAUUAAAAAUAAAAAACAUUCUCAUAAUAGUUUAAAAUAUGAAGUAGGUAUUUUAAGUGGAUUGUAUUUGAUAUUAUCAUGUGUUCAUAUAUUUUAGUAACAUGUUUUUAAACCAGAAGGAAUUGAGAGAAAGGAAAUGAAAUCCUUUCAGAGCAAAUCUUCAACUUCUUCUUGUUAAUUGAUUUAGUUUCAGAUGUUUCAUUUGAAAAAUAGGUACAAUGAAGGUUUUCAUGAUGAGGAGGAUUUCAUGGAAAUAGCUUGGAUCGUAAUCAUGCUUUUGCCUACAGAUAUUGUUAAUCGUCUCAUUAAAUUUUGAAAGAAUGCAGUCAGUAGUCAUAUGUAUGGACGCUUCAUCCUGGGCCUCUAAUGUUAUUGUAAUCAAACCGAAAUAUGUCUUGUUCAUCUUUACAUGUUCAGCAAACUUGGUAUGAAAAUUUCCUCCAGAUUUUUUCUUCAGUCUGUUUGCUAUAUCUUUGUCCUUUUUGAAAUAAUCCAAAAGGAUGUUUUCAGCAUCCACUUCAAUCCCAGGCUCUAUGACUGGAGGGAGAGUCGAGGACACAUCAUAGACCCAUUUUUUCCAAAGUGGGUUGAAUUUCUUACGUAGCUCUUCCUCACUGCAUUCUAAGCCUUUUAUAAAUAAAGCCAAAUUUCGGCUUUUUUCCAAUAAUUCCUUUUCAUAACCUGAUUUUUUGUUGUCCAGGUUUUCUUGAUUUUUUUUUUAAAGCAAAUAAAUUCUUUGGCUUUUCUUUGGCUGUCUGAAAUUAGUGACUCUUUAAGGAUCAUUAGCUUAUUUUCAAAAUUUCCCUUCCAUUGAACCAGCACUUCACUAUCUGGAUCUUCAUUGAAAUAUUUUUCAAGUUCUUGCUUGAUGGCCUCAUACUUGUCUGUAACGGGAGCCGCAAGUGUGUGUGCUUCAAGUGUGUGGAUUUUUCCAUUCUGAAUCUGGUUGAUCAGCUGGUCCUGCAGGCUCAGCACAUGACUCCUCAGCUCCCACGUCCAUUUGUUAUACAUGGUUUCCAGUUUGCUCAUAGCUGUAACCUCUCGAAACCUUUCGGGUAUUCCUGAAGCUGAAAACAAAGUUCUCAUUCAGCAGGGCUUUCCACAGAUCCUGAACUCGGAAUUUGACAUCUGAUAUCUUCAUGAUGCUUCCCCUUGCCUCCUGUUUGGCAGUUGCAAGGAUCCUGCUUUUCAGUUCCUGGGCAUUGUGGCUGUAGCGCGGAUUGGGAGGGGCCAUUGGGGGGUUGCCAUCCCAGAGGUGAGCGAAGUAGUAGACGUGAGUAUUGACAUCAAACUUAAUGACGUCACUGAAGCGGUCGACAUCAGAGCACUGUUCCUCCUCAGCUGCUGUGGCUGCCAUUUCAUCCAGUCUCUGCUCUAGCCGCCUCCGUCCUUCCAUGGUUUGGUCUUUAGCUGUAACUUCGCCCACAUUCUGAUGGACAAAGAGGCAGCUGGGAGAGAUUUUUACUUGUUUCAUCCUCAGGAAGGCUUGGACAGCUAUUUGUAGAAUAUCUUGCAUUUCCGAUGGAUUUUCCCCAAAAAUAUUGAUCACAGUUAAGUUGCCAAGGCCGAUGACAAAAGUUGCCAACUCAUUGUCGUGAUUCUGGGACUUGUUGCUGAGUUCAGGUGCCCGAAGGCCUUCCGUGUCCACAACAAGAAGAAAGUCAAAGCCAAGUUCGUCUGUGAACGUCUCCUCCACCUUCAGGAGCUGCAUGUAAGCCCCCCGGGUACACCUCCCAGCACUGACAGUGAACUGCAGCCCAAACAUUGCAUUCAGUAGGGUGGACUUCCCUGAGCUCUGCAGACCAAGGAUAGAGAGAACAAAGAGCCGUUUGUCUCCAAGUUUCUCAGAGACCUUGUCAAAAACAGCUGCCACCCACCUCAGGGGCACAUAUGAAGCAUCGCCAUCCAUCAGCUCAAUGGGAACACCAGAUAGCAUCAGAUCUGCGGCCAUGUGGGGAAGGGAGAGAAACGAGACAUCUUUUGUGGAGAAACCUUCUUCAAGAGCUUCGUAGAUCUGGCCAAGUUCUCUGAGAAUCUGCUCAACUCCCAAGGUACAGUCACUAAUCUUUCUGGAGAUAGCUUCCAACUCAUUUUGCAGGCCUUUCAGGGAGCUGCUCUUUUGUGCCUCUCGCUUUUUUUGGACCCGUGACCACAGUUGCUCUUUCUUCUCAUUUAGUUUCUCCAAGUGUCCUGCAGUCAGGUUGUCUAAAAACACACUCAGCCAUUGCAAGAAGUAGAGUUUGGUGUGAGUUUCGGAAUGUUUUUGGAGAAUUCCGAGGACAGAAUGCAUUAAGUCAUUGAGAGGAAAGGCUUUUCUCAACUGUCGAAGUCGUAUCAUUUGUUUGUCUGUCUCGAUGUCACUCUUGUGCUGUUCAAUGCUCCGAUUCCCCUUUUCUCUCAGGUGAUAGAGUUCUUUGUCUUUUUUGCACCAAAGUUGCCACAGUUCUCCCUGAAGGGGCAGUAGGUUUUCCUUCAUCUGAGCUAUUUCCAUGUCUUCCAGCAGGGCCAUUAGAGCCUCUGCCUUGGUUUUGGCUUCCUUGCAGUCUUCCUGGUCUUCAUCAAUAAGCAUUCCUUGCUUGCGAGCAACUUGAGCACAGUUUUCCAAGCUGAGAGCAGUGUCAGAGGGUUUUAGCAACCCUCUGAUUGUAGUUGCGAGCUCCUCUAUGA